RNAcentral lists this long non-coding RNA (5254 nucleotides) under Gigantopelta aegis. RNAcentral's name for it is "uncharacterized LOC121374050". Lineage: Eukaryota; Metazoa; Mollusca; Gastropoda; Neomphalida; Peltospiridae. The record is from RNAcentral.
GGUUUACUUAACCAUAUGUCUGACACCAUAUUACCGUAAAUACAAUGUGUUGAGUGCAUCGUUAAAUAAAACAUUUCUUUCUUUCUUUCUUGUUAGUGUUUGUAUCAUUGUUUUUCUGGCUGAUUGGUAGACUUUUUGUCAACAGAUAGACCAGCUGAUUGUGCCAUGGAUUUCAUUAAACCACCAAGCUUAUUUUUUACCAACCCGCUGCCCAUUAAAAAGACUUUUCAUCCCUCACCGGGUUUUUGUGUGUGUGUGUUUGUGGUAAAAUAAAAAGGAUGGUCAGCGUUGCUGUAAUUGAAUUAGAUGGAAGGAUCUGUAUUUAGAACUACAGGAUAUUGUGCAGGAUUUUCUUUAUUUGGGAACCCUUUUCAGGCAUUGCUUGGGAUGGAUCCAUCUCGUGUUUUCAUCUGUCUCUCGUUAUAAUCAACAAACUGCUUGUUAUCACUGUCAGUUUUUAGUGAAACGUCACCCCAUUUCGUAAUCUGGUGUGGUAAAAUGGACUGCAAUCCAAAUACACACUACUGUUCUACAAGAGAGUUUGAAGGAUAGUUUCAGGAGUUCUUGAAGUUCACCAGAUUUUCCAAAGUUGAUUGAGUUCAUGGGGUGAUAACACGUGCAGUUGAUUAGAUCUUUGAAUUCAUCAGGCAAGCUGAGAGUGGGGAAGAAUUCAAGUCAAUUGAACCAGAAACAUCUUGUUGCUGCUGCAUUAUAAUUUAAUAGAAACUGUUGCUGCAUCAGUGUGAAAUCGUGGAUGUCCUGCUUAUAACGACUUUGAUUUUUUUUUCAUUUAUUCAUAUGGAUGUCGAAAGCCAUUCAACAUUUAAACAUGUACUCAGGUUUUCACUGUCAAAAGUCUGGGUACUGCUAUCCUUUUUGUAAUUUUAAAGAAUGAUAAAAGAAUGUAAAAAAAAAAAAAAAAAUGCACUUAAUAUAGUAAAACUGAAAUUGACAUUUGUAAGAUUUUUUUUUUUCUUGCAAAAGUAAUAUAACAGAUAUAUGUAUAUGGUGUAAUAAAAAUGUUAUUUAUGUUUAUCCCAGAAUAGAUUUCAUUAUCAAUCAGGAUAUUUGAUUUCCUACUAUGUUCUUUUUAACAUCAUUUGCAUACUCUUUACAGAAUUAUUAAAAAAAAUUAACUCCAAUUUGUACACAAUACAAUGUUAAAUAAAUUAACUAAUAAUUUACCAAAGGAUUAAAAAUAAAAAUCGCAUAAGCAAGACAAACUAGAAGUUCCAGUCUUAUGGGUCUGCUUAUUUCAAAGCCUGCUUGUUUUCAGCGUCAGAACGUUCCAUUUUUGAUGGUAUUUAAGUAAAACUUGAUAAUUAAAUGCCGGAAGGUUUUCGGGAAAUUCUGACCGUGAAAGUGACCACCUUUGAGUACAGCCACCUGUAAGAUUUGGCAACAAAUGAUGUUCAUUUAUGUAGAACAAAAUGUCAUCUUUUUCCAGUGAUAUUUUUAUACUUUUAAAUCCACAUUUUUGAGUGGAUGUGAAAGAUGUAUUAAAUUGUUUUGUUAACAUUAUAACCAGGUUGUACCAAAGUUAAAUCCCCUCGUCAACACCAAAAUAAUGCUCACCAACUAUGGCGUAAUGUUUCAAACCAGUAUUUGUUUUGUUGGUUGUCUAUGAUUUUAAGUCCAACAAAUUCUUUUUUUCAUUUAAUUGAUAAAAAUUACACUUGUGCAAAAAUAAUGCCAAUGAUAUUAAAAAUGAAAGGUGUUGUUUCAUUUUCUAUUCACACACCAAAAAACCACCUAACUUUGGUAUAAGUGUACAAAAAAGUUGUAUAAAUUAUUGCGAUAUUUUUCUUGAUGUAUUUGUCUCGGAUGUUGUAAAUUAUAUUUUUUAUCAACUUAUUUUACCUGCCAUUUGUUGUUUUUGUUUUAAAAUGUAUUACUAUUAAGAAUUCAUUGAACUGUAUACUAUUUUUUUCCAUUAGACCAAAUUAAACAAGAGAAAAGAAAUUUUAAUUUUAUUCAUUUCAGUGAAAUCUUGUUGACUAACAUGAUUUAUCAAUGAUUAUGAUUUCUGGUAAUUGUAGGUCCUAAUUAUUUCAGACCGACAUUACUUUAAAUUCAAGAUCGUGUUUUGCUGUUCUAUUCCUGUUACAGAGUGAAUUGUUACAACUAAUAUUUGGUGUUUCAGUGUUGUUUCUUGAAUAAUAUAAAUGCAUGUAUGCUGAACAAGUUUCAAUGCAGAAAUUUAAAGGCAUGUAAGAUAUUAAAAUAUUUUGUAAACAAGCUACAAUUGCAAUGUCCCUAAUUGCUACAACUCAUAAUGUGGUGUUUAGAGGGUCAUGUUUUAGAAUUUAGACAUUCAGCUCCAAGAAAUUUGGCCGGUUUUGACAGAAUUCCACUUUGUUCAAGGUCUGGUUUAGGCAGGUUUCACUGUAUAUAUAUUUUUUAUUUAAAAAAACAUACUAGUAUUCACAUUUCUUCACAAUGGGUAAAAUAAAGUUGAGCAGAACAUCAUUCCAGAAAUGGUGCUAGACUAAGUUUCAAAGAAAAUAAAUUAAAACUUGUAUUGCAAGGCGAUCAGUUUGCCACUUGCCUAAAACAUUCCAGGCGAAUGUAGAGGGUUUCCUAGUGAAGACUGUAAAAGUAUAACAAAAAGAGAGAAAAAACUGAAAUAUGUUAAAACACUCUCUUCUAACAGUAAAAUGCUAGUGAUGAGAUUACUUUAAAACAACUGGCAACAGCAAACAUCUAUAGGCACUUUUUUUUUGUUGGCAUUUUGCUACAUUCUUUCAUUAUUUUUGUGGUAGAGAUCUUUCAUGUAUAACUCUGGUAAAAGAAAUAAUAGCCUCAGGAAAAAAGGCAAGGCUCAUUUAGAUGACAUUUCGAGUAGUAAAAAGAAUACAAAAUAAGAAUCCAACUACAGUACAGCUUGAACAAUGCAUGGGUGUUUAUAAUGCAUGUACCUACAGACAUUGAUACAGUUUACAAAUCUUUGUCAUCAUUUUGGUUUCCCAUUGACAUGUCUAAAGACAAGAUGCAGGUGUUACACGUACAUGUACCUUUACGGUGGCAGUGGCAUCAACGUUUGCAUUUAGUUCAGUGUUACGGUUUUGCAUUUAGCUCCAUUUCUCUCCAACAGAUUGUAAACAUAGCAUGAUUUGUUGCUUCCACGAAUCCCUUAUUUUGGGUCUGAAGUGUAAGAUUACGAGAUAGAAUCCCCAAAAUACACAUUACAUCACUUGACAGUUCUGGCAGAAUCCUAAAACAAAAUCCCCAAAUUCAGUGCCUGACAAACAAUAAUUCCUAAUUAAGUCCACCUUCGUUUAUUUUUGAACAUAUGGAUGUUCAUCUCAAUUUUUUAUUUUUAAAUUUAAAAAAACCCACAGGAUUAAUGAUGAACUUUUUGUCAUUUAUUUUUAUUUAUUUAUUAUUAUUAAAACUUCCAUUUAUUUUUAAUGUGCAUUGAGAUAAAUACAUGUAUGUAUGGGUGCAUUUAUGAGCAACCCCAAAUGAUUUUUAUGAUAGGCAAGACAUUGAAUUCUGCAGAAUUUAUUUUUAUACUAUGUACUACUAAAUAGGUUCGGCCUUUGGAGUUGAUAUGCUGAAAACCACAUUUACCUUACAAUGUAGAUUACACACAGCUGCAAGGGACAUAGAAUGAUAUUUAUCAGGGCACUCUUAGUGCUAAGAUCACCAUAAAUGCAUAGCAACCUUAUGCACUUUAGGAGAUCUUGAUGUUAAAAUCACUUCGUGAAAUGGGCCGCAUGGUAUUAUGUUCUAAAAUGUUUAUUAUAUUUAUUACAUAAUGUAACCAAAAUAGAGGUUUUAAAAAAACCCUAUGUAUUGUAAUUGUACAGAAUAGUCACCAUGUACAUUGCUGUAUCAUACUAAUAAAUUAUUUAUACAGUCUCAGAUUAAACGAGGCAAACCUUGAUUGUGCUUUAUUUAAUGCAGGUUUAUGUAAAAUUACAUCAUAAUGACCAAGCAAUAACACAACCAAGAAGUUAAAUAUGGAACAAUAUAGAUUUCACAUUGCCUUUAGUCCUAUCCAUAAUGCACACCCACGAAUACACCACCAAACUAGAAUGUACACCAAAUUCCAUUCAGAAAUGCACUCCACCAAACAAUGUUAUGCGUCAUCAGAGUACACUGCAAUCCUUCACAAUAAUGAAUGAGCCAAAUAUGUAUGAUUGAUGUGGGCACAAUACUGCACCAUUUCAUCCAUCCUGUGCCUUCUAUAAGAAGACUGCUACUCCUAGGACUGGCUUGACAGAGUGAAGCUUGUUCACAACCACACUUCCAUCUAAAUACCCAUCAUUCACAAAAUUUAAUUAUACCAAGAAUGCAUAGGGAAAAACAAUACACCGAUUCAUCAGGCAAAAAAUUAUUAUGGUACACACACACCCUUUCCAUCGAAGCCCCCAUGCGAUUAAUUUUGUAAAAGAAAUCUGACUAUAAAAUAUAUACGUACCAAAUAGCUGGGGUGGGAUCUAUUUCAAUUGGUAGAGUGCUCUCCUGAGGUGCUUGCAUCAUAGGAUCGAAUCACCUUAGUGGACCCAUUCUUCGAGUGGGUUAUUUCCCAUCCCAACUAGUGCCGCACAAGUGGUAUAUCAAAGGCCAUGUUAUGUACGGUCCUGUCUGUGGGAAAAUUCACAGGCCUCACAUGUGGUCAAAAUCAUAGAGUGAAGUCUCUUUUCUCUGAAACUUUUAAGAUGGCAAAGUUUUUAACAGGAGGGAGACUUGAAUUUUUAAUCUAAAAAAAUUAAAUAUGCAAGGGAAAAAAAAGAAGUUAUAUUAAACCAUUACGUCAAACCUGUCUUCACAUAAGACUAAUGGCUACUGAGUACAGAUGAAACUUUUACAGUUUGUAAUAUUUUAUUUUAAAAAUGUUUGCCAUCUGUACUGCUAAUUGAUGGGGGUGUGCUCAAGAGUUUUCUGAAAAAUCACCUAUCCACAUGUCGCCUUCUUCAGAAAUAACGAAAUGUAACAGAAAAGCACCAAUUUAACCAUUUGGAAUUCAUGCUCUCACCAGUUUGUCUUCUGUUUUUAUUAAAUUACUACUCCAUCAGGGUACCCACAGGACAGGGAAAAUGUUUUAAAAAAAUUCCCUGCAGGGAAAAUUCAGGUAAUUUGAAAUUUUUGUCCGAUUCAGGGAAAAUACAGGAAAUUUAUUUGGGUGUAAUGGAAUCCGGAAAAUAUAUCAGGGAAUUUUGUGGAGACCUAUAUGGUAUAUACACAUAUACAUGUACAUGUAUAUAUACAAAAUCAUGUAAAAAUGUAAUAAACCUAAGAUAUUGUU